CGCCAAACAAGUGAAAAAGGUCAGAAGAAGAAACAAAAAAAAAUAGAAGCUCCAACCGAAUCAAGUUGGCCACCUUUCAAUAAGCGAGCUUCACCCCGACAAUGAAGUUCGAAGCUGAGUUAUGAUAGGUAUGACUCCUAUACUCCUCUUUCUGCUCCUCAUGCGUAGAUUCUGAUGGAGAUCGAAGGAGCAGAAUAUUUAUUGCAACCCCCACC
Molecule: long non-coding RNA, 215 nt
Filed under: Elaeis guineensis (African oil palm)
Lineage: Eukaryota; Viridiplantae; Streptophyta; Magnoliopsida; Arecales; Arecaceae
Description: long non-coding RNA (EGUI_LNC005588)
Source: RNAcentral